RNAcentral lists this ribosomal RNA (465 nucleotides) under Vreelandella stevensii. RNAcentral's name for it is "partial 16S ribosomal RNA". It matches the Rfam family "Bacterial small subunit ribosomal RNA", at positions 338 to 795 of the family's 1533-position model. Lineage: Bacteria; Pseudomonadati; Pseudomonadota; Gammaproteobacteria; Oceanospirillales; Halomonadaceae. The record is from RNAcentral.
CCUACGGGCGGCAGCAGUGGGGAAUAUUGGACAAUGGGCGAAAGCCUGAUCCAGCCAUGCCGCGUGUGUGAAGAAGGCCUUCGGGUUGUAAAGCACUUUCAGUGGGGAAGAAAGCCUUGGGGCUAAUACCCUCGAGGAAGGACAUCACCCACAGAAGAAGCACCGGCUAACUCCGUGCCAGCAGCCGCGGUAAUACGGAGGGUGCGAGCGUUAAUCGGAAUUACUGGGCGUAAAGCGCGCGUAGGCGGUCUGAUAAUCCGGUUGUGAAAGCCCCGGGCUCAACCUGGGAACGGCAUCCGGAACUGUCAGGCUAGAGUGCAGGAGAGGAAGGUAGAAUUCCCGGUGUAGCGGUGAAAUGCGUAGAGAUCGGGAGGAAUACCAGUGGCGAAGGCGGCCUUCUGGACUGACACUGACGCUGAGGUGCGAAAGCGUGGGUAGCAAACAGGAUUAGAUACCCUUGUAGUC